Molecule: non-coding RNA, 1091 nt
Organism: Camellia sinensis
Lineage: Eukaryota; Viridiplantae; Streptophyta; Magnoliopsida; Ericales; Theaceae
Source: RefSeq, a predicted model, not a curated record
AUUGCAGAUUGAAGCCUUCUCUCUCUCUCUCUCUCUCUCUCUCUCUCUAUGAGCAAACGAAGUGGUUGCUGGGAAACCCUAGCCGCAUACAGAGAAUAAAGAGUAGGAGAACCAAAGCAAUUGCUGCGGAAACCCCAAGCAUUUUCAGAGACAAAAAAAAAAGUGUGGAAUAGAAUCUCCCAUAAUAAACAGAGACUAGAUCACAUUCUUCAUCACUUUGUUUUCAUCAUUUUAAUGGGUUGAGACUCGAAAGGGCUGAGAGACAUGCCCCCUCAGUCUUCAGGUUGUUUACUUGGAAGUUUUGAUGGCAUGUGUGGAGUCGGAAAAAAAUAAAAUAAGGAAAAGAGAAUCCAGCGUCGUGCUUUCUCAACACAAUAUACAAGGCCAUUGGAUCCUCUUGCCAUUGCAUUUUCGACUAAAGGAGAGGCUAUGUUCUGUGAAGCCAUAGCAGGAGGAACAACUUUUGGGUCACUAAAGCUAAUUGAAAACUUCAGAAUGCAAAGGAAUUUGAAUUUUUGUGGUCCGGCAACUUUGUGCACUGUGCUUAAUGCUCUUCGUGUUGAUCCAGAACGACCUUGGAAAGGUCCGUGGUGCUGGUUUGAGGAUCCCAUGAUCGGGGAUUCGGAGAUCAUGGGUUAUGUCUAGAAAAAAGGAAUCACAUUUGGCAGUUUUGCUGAACUUGCUAGGAAACAUGUCGACAUUGAAGCAUUCAAGGCUCAACAUAGCUCUUUAGAGCAAUUUACAAACUGUGUGAUCCAAACGACUUCAACAAACUGUGUGAUCCAAACGACUUCAACAGAAGAGUUGUAUAUGAUUCUGUCCUACUCUAGGAAGACGGUCAAUCAGACGGGUGAUGGUCAUUUUUCACCAAUGGCUGCAUAUCACAAGGGCGGAGACAUGCUUUUGAUAUUGGAUGUUGCCCGCUACAAGUACACUUUUCAUUGGUUGCCGCGGAUAGGGGUGUGCAUAAUACCGUCGAAACCGCCGAAAUCGCCAAAACCGCACCAAACCGCACCGCCAAGGCAAAUUUGUUAUUAUUUGUCAAUCGAACCGCCGGUUUUUGGUAAGAAAAAUGGCAAAUUCUAGUGAUC